RNAcentral lists this ribosomal RNA (850 nucleotides) under uncultured organism. Its description in RNAcentral is "bacterial SSU rRNA". It matches the Rfam family "Bacterial small subunit ribosomal RNA", at positions 302 to 1147 of the family's 1533-position model. The record is from RNAcentral.
GAUCCCCCACACUGGUACUGAGACACGGACCAGACUCCUACGGGAGGCAGCCGUGAGGAAUAUUGGUCAUUGGAGGCAACUCUGAACCAGCCAAGCCGCGUGAAGGAAGACUGUUCUAUGAAUUGUAACCCUUCUUUUUGUGACAGAGUCACGAUAGCUACGCGUACUUACUUUUGCCAGUAUGUCAUGACUAAAGCAUCGGCUAACUCCGUGCCAGCAACCGCGGUCAUACGGAGGAUGCACGCGUAAUCCGGAUCUAUUAGGUUCACCGGGUGUUCAGGCUGUCUGGUCAGUCAGAGGUGCCAGUCGGUUGCUUAACGAUCGAAUUGCCUUUGCAACUGUCAGACUUGAGUAUGGAUGCGGUAGCCGGAAUGUCUAGUUUACCGGUGAAAUGCAUAGAUAUUACACAGAACACCGAUUGCGAAAGCAGCUUUACCAAACCAGCACUGACGCUGAAGCACGAAAGCGUGGGUAGCGAACAGGAUUAGAUACCCUGCUAGUCCACGCAGUAAACGAUGCUCACUCGCUGUUGGCAAUAGAUCGUCAGCGGCUAAGGGAAACCGAUAAGUGAGCCACCUGGGGAGUACGAUCGCAAGAUUGAAACUCAAAGGAAUUGACGGGGGCCCGCACAAGCGGUGGAACAUGUGGUUUAAUUCGAUGAUACGCGAGGAACCUUACCUGGGCUUAAAUGUACGAUGCAUAAGUGUGAAAGCACUUUCUCCUUCGGGACUUUGUACAAGGUGCUGCAUGGUUGUCGUCAGCUCGUGCCGUGAGGUGUCGGGUUAAGUCCCAUAACGAGCGCAACCCCUAUUGUUAGUUACCAGCGCGUAAAGGCGGGGACUCUAGCGAA